This 265-nucleotide long non-coding RNA is filed under the name Trifolium pratense (red clover). RNAcentral's name for it is "long non-coding RNA (TPRA_LNC012452)". Lineage: Eukaryota; Viridiplantae; Streptophyta; Magnoliopsida; Fabales; Fabaceae. The record is from RNAcentral.
AAAGAAAAAGAUUAAUCAGAAUAUUAGACUUUCAUAAUAAGUCUGCAGUCAAAAAUAUUGACAGAUACACUGUCCACCAUAUAAUGCUUUCGAGAAAUAACCUCCCUUUGUGAUCCCAUUGAGAAUUUGAUACUGCCCAAUACAGCAGUGAGUACUAAAUUGGAGAAGGUAACACCGAGUACUAAACACAUUUACAGUUCAAUUCUCAUGCUGUGUAUAGUAAUUAAUGGUUGUGUUCAAUCCAGGUGCACUGCAUUUAAUGUUU